RNAcentral lists this ribosomal RNA (998 nucleotides) under Aptostichus atomarius. RNAcentral describes it as "partial 16S ribosomal RNA". The record is from RNAcentral. Lineage: Eukaryota; Metazoa; Arthropoda; Arachnida; Araneae; Euctenizidae.
GAACUCAGAUCACGUAAGGUUUUAAAAGUCGAACAGACUUUCUUUUUUAGGGCCUACCCCAAAAAGAUAAAUAAUUCAACAUCGAGGUCAUAAUCUUUUUCUUUUAUAAGAACUUUAAGAAAAAAUUGUGCUGUUAUCCCUACGGUAGCUUGGUUGAGUCUCAUUUUGAGGAUGUGACGAAAGGUAGAAAGAAGAUUUAGUUUUUUACCGCCCCAGUGCAACAAAAGUAAAGUUCGAUAGGGUCUUGUCGUCCUUCUUUGUUAUACAAGUCUUUUUACUUGAGUGAAAAAUUAAAAUAGUUUAGGUAAUAAAGAAAUUCAUAUGUCAGACCUUUCAUACUAGCCUUCAAUUAAAAGGCAAAUGAUUAUGCUACCUUAGCACAGAUUUAUAGCGGCUAUUUAAAGAAAUCAUUGAGCAGGUCCUACUGAAUAUAAUCUCAUUCAGAAAUGUUUUUGAUAAACAGGCAAUAAAUUUAGAGGCCGAGUUCAUAAACCUAAGGUUAAGGGGAGAAAGAGGGGAGCGGCGUUAAAGGGGGGGGGAAAGAAUAAUUUUACUAAUAAAAUCAUUAUACGGUUUGGGGGGAGGUCUUCCUUUAAUAGCAUUUCAGAGGGAAAAUAGAAGUAGUUUGAAAACUUAAGAGGACACUAUUAAUCCUUGUGUUUUAAUGAGGUGGGCAGGAUAAUGAAUAAAAAAGAUUGUCCCUUUUUAAAUCCUAGUAUUAUUACUUUAAGGGGAAACCAGAUAUCAAAGAACGCGGGUGGAAUUUCAUCUCUAUGUUCUCUUUGGAAAACUUUGUGGAAUAAGCUUGACAAGAGAAAAUAGCUCGUUUCAAUUUCGGGAAAGUUUCUUAAGAAGGUUGGGUUGAUUUUCCCUGAUACUAAAGGUACAUUUUAUUUCUAUUUUGCAAUUUGGGGAUGUUUCCCUCACGGUAAAAAAAUUAGAAAGGGUUAAUAGGAAGAAAAUGAAUAUUUGUUUAAAUAAGAUUUUUAAAGGGGGCU